Molecule: long non-coding RNA, 2426 nt
Filed under: Gossypium raimondii (Peruvian cotton)
Lineage: Eukaryota; Viridiplantae; Streptophyta; Magnoliopsida; Malvales; Malvaceae
Description: long non-coding RNA (GRAI_LNC000835)
Source: RNAcentral
UCCGGCUUCCCUCCCCAACUCUCUGUUUUACCCUCCCUCCCUACCCGACCCUCUCCUCUUCUGUCCUCAUAAUUUCUCCUCCCAUUUCCCACUGCUUUCGUUGAUGAUUCUGUCCUCAUCGUUUCUUCUCUCGGUCUCGGCGUUUGGUUUUUGAGGUAUGAAUAAACUUUUCAUUUCUUGAAGCAUUUUACAUGAUUCUUUUCGUAAUAAGGAGUUUCAGCCAUUUUUUGAAUGAGUUGGGUUUUUUCCCAGAAUUUUCCCUUUGCUUGUUUCUGCUAGUUCAAUUUCUUCGUUUUUCUUUUUGGUGCUAAAUACUCACUUGAAUAUCGAGUUAACUCUUUUUCUUUCUGCUCGUUCUAUUUUUUCGUUUUGCUUGUUUCAUUUUUUGGUGCUAGUUCCAGAACCGUUUUGCUUGUUAUACUAAUCGAUCCCAAGGAUCGGGUGGAAGCGAGGGGAAAUAAAUUUAUGCUAAGUGAUGCAUAUUGAUGGUGUGAAUGUAGUUCACACUUGUAAAGCAAAGCAGUAAAGCCGAUAAGAUAACUACUUGCUGAUCUGCAUGGAUUCUUUUUGACUUUGCAAAGCUUUUUUAGAUUGAAACAUAUGCUUUGCUUGCACAGUGUGAUCAAAUAAUGCAGAUGAUUGAAAAAAGUUGCACAAUUCCUAGUUUUCUUCUUUGAAAAACUCUUGUUUUGUACCAGAACCCACCCUUUCUGUUCCAUUUCUUAAUUUGUUUCACCUCCUUCAUUUUUCUUGGUAAAGGGAUUAAAAUGCAUCUACUCAACACAAUGUUAAUUUAGUUUUGUACUUUUUAUUAAUAUAAAUAUGGCUAAUUGUUGGUUUGUUUGAUGCAAACCAAUUCUACUUGUAUUUUUUAAUUUAGUAAUUACUUGUUAAAACAUUUAAGCUGACUAUGCCACCACAUUUAGCACAAGUCUCGGCUGUUCGGGAGGCUUUAUUAUGGUUAAACCCUGCCCAUAUGUGAAGGAUUUGAUUUGUGUUGAGAUCAAUUCUCAACACGUUUUCAAUGCCGUGGUACAUCUCAGAGUUCAGCACUCUCUUCAUCUUAAGGCACAAUUUCAAGUCUUUUCCUUCCCUUUGGAUGAAUAGAAGCACAAAUAAAAUGAAUGCUCUUGCAAAAGUGACUUUUAUUCAAACGAAUCGCAUCAUUUUUACCUUGAUUUUGUUCCUAGCCAUCUCGACCUCCUUCUUUAUAGAAGCUCCAUGUGCAAUCUCUUCUUUAUCCUGUUCUUAUUAUCCUGUUCUCUUAAUAUCAGAAUAGUAUCCUUCUUUAUAUCAACUAAAGCUUGACCAUCUUUAUAUAUACUAUCUAAUCUUCCUUUUAUGUUUUCUAUAUUGAACUUCAACUAUUUCUAUAAUUUUCUUAGAUGGGAAUUUAUCAGCUUUCCCUUUUCUCAUUACAGGUUUCUUGUUCCAACACUUCUUCAUCGUAGUCGUCCCCGAUUUGCUCAUUACAGGUUAGUUUUCCAUUGGUAUUCAUGGAGAUCAGCUAGUAUUUUUUACUGUAUAUAUAUAUAUAGUUAAAUUUUAAUUAUGAGAAUAUUAAUAAUCUGAGUUUGCUUAGCCAAGUGAUGAUCUUGUAUCCGGUUGAUGUUUUGGUAUAAAUGAGAUAUUGCAGUUCUAAGUUAUACAAUUGUGAGUUACUAAAAUGCGACCUGUAUGUAGAUAGAUAAACAAAAUUACGUUGUAAAUGUGAAAAUGCAAUAUAUAUAUUGAAAGAAAAAAAAGAAGAAGAGAUUUUAAAAGUUUAUCAAAAUUCAGUAUGUUGUUUAAAGAGAUUCUUUUUAUAUUACAAUAUCGAGGAUAAUCAGAGACUUUAUUUUGUAAAUCACAUUAACAAAUGCUUUACUCGCAUCAACAUUGGAUCCAAGCGAUAAUACAACUUAGAUAAGUGAACAUGUUUGGUGGUUAGUUUUGGGUUCAUUCGAUUAAAAAAUGCUCAAUUGUGGGUCAAAACUUUAUAAUCGGUACCGAUACAAAUAAUGCAAACAACUGAAAUUUUGGUUACUACAAAUGGAAUGUAAAGAUUACCCAAAAGCUUUUGUCGAGUAGCAAUAAAUGUAAAGAUUACCCGAUGACAAUGCUUAUCCGAUGACAAUGAUUACUCUUUAACAGUUUAUUUGUUGUUUAGUUGAAUAGAUUUUGCGGAAUCACUCAUUUCCUUUGUUUUUAUCUUGUUUUCAUAAUGUUUGCUGUAAUAUUGAUUUUGAAUCAUAUAUAUUCAAAGCUGCCAAGUUGGUAUAUUUUAUUAUCUAAAGGACUGGUUACUAAAAGAGAGGCUGCUUUGGUUAUUCGAUGAUUAUGUUUAUAAACUGAUUAUUUUUGUAACAUCGAUUUGCCUUUUCUCAUUACAGGUUCUUUGUUCCAACACUUCUACAUCGCAGUCGUCCCCGAUUUGCUCAUUACAG